Molecule: long non-coding RNA, 2667 nt
Filed under: Salmo salar (Atlantic salmon)
Lineage: Eukaryota; Metazoa; Chordata; Actinopteri; Salmoniformes; Salmonidae
Description: lncRNA (ENSSSAG00000090817.1, ENSSSAG00000110744.1)
Source: RNAcentral
UGUCUGACACCAGGCCAUUAGGCUGUUCUUGUCUUGAGUCAAGACACCAUAUUGCCUGACACUGUUAGGUUCUACUCCGGUACGGUACUCGGAUACGGAGGCAGAGAAAAUCUCCGACCAGAUGUAUUCACCCAACAGGAUACCCUCAGCUGUAUAGCAGCACAGUGCUACAGAGCCAGUCUUAUCUACAGUACCUGGGGUGAAUGUCUCAGCAGGAUGGGACAGGCUGGACCAGAUGGCUGUUUGGCUCUGAUCUCCCUUCAGAUACCAUUCUGAUAUCUGCAUCUUGUCAUUCUCACUUCUCUCCCCAACUGCUACGUUGAAAGCCAUCAUCUCACUUCCCACAGAAACUAGCCAUUUGGACAGUAACUUAACCUUGACCCUAUCAUAACCCUGACAGAAGGUUUCUAUUGACCUUUAGGGAAUCAUUCAUGCAGUCCGAAGCAGUCCCCUAUCCCUAUGCCUAAAUACAAUGCACAUAGAUUCACCCAAUCCCAUAACAGGAUGAUUACUACGGAUUAUUCUAGAAAAGGUUAUAGUGUCAUAACGGCCUCCAACAGCACCGUUGAAUUUGUCUUACAAUGUUGGGAAAAGCUUUCUCCAAUAUUCUGCUAUUUUAUACUGAAAGAUACAUUUCUGUAGCUCAAAGAAAGGAAAACCGCUUAUGAUCGGCAGAUAUUUUAUUUUGAUUUAACCUUUAUUUAACUAGGCAAGUCAGUUAAGAACAAAUUCUUAUUUACAAUGACGGCCUACCAAAAGGCAAAAAGACCUGAGGGGACAGGGGCUGGGAUUAAAAAUAUCUUUCUAUUAUGGUUUUAUUUGGUAAAUCAAGUGAGGUUGGUUGCAUAAAACAAGUAUGAAAGACUAUUUUACUAUAUACAAAUUACACUUCCAUCAGAGGUUAAUGUUUGUGAAUAUAUAAAGCACAUUAUAUUUGCAUAUCAGUCAAUACAUUGACAGAUCUGUCUUGGGGAUUUAACCAGAAGCUAACUAAAUGCUAUUGUCGAUCCAUAGACUACAAUACUAGCGUUGUAGCCAUUAGAUUACGUGAAUGUGUCAUGCCUUGCUACCCAGGAACCAAACACAUAGAACAGAAGGGACCAGGGAAAAACAAACAAGGAUCAUUAUGUUCCAGAAGUGCUUUUAUCUUUAGACUGAGCAGCAGUUUUUCCAGGUCACUGGGUAGUUGUGUGUGGGUGGGAACAUACUUCUCACAGAGAGAAAAAGGGAGGGAGAGAAUCAGUCUGUCUCUCUAGCUCUGAACCAGGUAACAGGUUGCUGCUGCCUGUCUCUCUAGCUCUGAACCAGGUAACAGGUUUCUGCUGCCUGUCUCUCUAGCUCUGAACCAGGUAACAGGUUUCUGCUGCCUGUCUCUCUCUAGCUCUGAACCAGGUAACAGGUUUCUGCUGCCUGUCUCUCUCUAGCUCUGAACCAGGUAACAGGUUUCUGCUGCCUGUCUCUCUAGCUCUGAACCAGGUAACAGGUUUCUGCUGCCUGUCUCUCUCUAGCUCUGAACCAGGUAACAGGUUUCUGCUGCCUGUCUCUCUAGCUCUGAACCAGGCAUCAGGUUUCUGCUGCCUGUCGGCCUGUCUCUCUAGCUCUGAACCAGGUAACAGGUUUCUGCUGCCUGUCGGCCUGUCUCUCUCUAGCUCUGAACCAGGCAUCAGAUUUCUGCUGCCUGUCUCUCUAGCUCUGAACCAGGCAACAGGUUUCUGCUGCCUGUCGGCCUGUCUCUCUCUAGCUCUGAACCAGGCAUCAGGUUUCUGCUGCCUGUCGGCCUGUCUCUCUCUAGCUCUGAACCAGGCAUCAGGUUUCUGCUGCCUGUCGGCCUGUCUCUCUCUAGCUCUGAACCAGGUAACAGGUUUCUGCUGCCUGUCUCUCUAGCUCUGAACCAGGUAACAGGUUUCUGUUUUAUUCAACUCAUGAAUGAAUGUUCCCAUAUUGCUGCCUGGCAACCAGCCAGUAUCAGGAGAAAAGGGAACAUCUUGUUCCGUUAGUUAUGCUGCACAGAGUAGAACAGGCUGUGGCCAAAGUUAUGAAAUGAAGAAAGGAAGGGAGGGGAAAAUUAACAAUAGAAAAAGGAGAGUAGGAGCAGAGGGUGUAUAACUGGACUGUGUGUUUGAUUGAAUUCAUAUCUUAUACCAAUGUAUGGAAUAAUAUAAAGGGAGGGUCUUUUCAAUCCAUAUCGCGGAAGUUCAGCGUUACGUCACGAUUUAAAUUUAAAAGGCAAUGUUAGUGGAGAGUGCAUUCACGGUAAACGCUGUAAUAUGUCGACUCAAUCAGAAAUGACCUUUAAAUUUAUAGCGUGCAAUCUGUAACGCCUCAGCGAAUAGAGAUUGAAUAAAGGCUGAAGUCUGUUUUUAGAGAGCGCUUGCAGAAAUGGCAUUUUUCAGGGUAGGAUAGGGAGUGACGCAAAAUGUAAAACAUGUUCGACACCGACUGGCUUGAUCAAGUCCAUAUUUCUGUGCUGAGAGGACAGACAGAGUGGAAGAUGUCUUCUCCCUCGUCUUCCUCUUGGAGUCUUUCCCUCUUUGUGUUUCAACCUGUUGAUUGGUGGUGGUGUGACUCUACUGGACCGCUCUGUUGGCUGGGGGGCGCUGGACCGGGGGCGCUGGACCCGGGGCGCUGGACCGGGGACGCUGGACCGGGGGCGCUGGACCGGGAGCU